This 635-nucleotide long non-coding RNA is filed under the name Homo sapiens (human). RNAcentral's name for it is "HSALNT0219782". Lineage: Eukaryota; Metazoa; Chordata; Mammalia; Primates; Hominidae. The record is from RNAcentral.
GCCAUCACACUAGAGAGCUGUCUCAUGCCUCUUUCCAGCCAACAGUGUAACACCCACCUUCCAUCCACUGAAGCAGAUGCUGUCUGUGCCUCACACCUACCCCUCAGACCUUUCCAUGUGCUCUGGCUGACUCAACUGCCAACAUCUGUACUCUGUACCUGGUGGCCCUUUUUGUCAGAACCACUGCAAGCUGUGUUACCAAUCUGUGUGGCUGCCUACAAGUGCCAAGGAAUUCACAAUAUCAAUCCCCACACUGGAGUAACCAUCAACCAAAUAAUGAACCGCAAGUGGCAUAUAAAGGUGAAAUAUAAUUGGCCACAAGUUAUUUACUAGCCAAGCUUAAGAAACUGGCUUAAUUGGAGAACUCAAGGAACCUCUUGUUGUAAUUAUACCUGAAACACUAAUAUGUGCACAGAGAUCAAUACGUCAGACUUGAAAGGAAAAAUUUUAAGAUAUCUCCCCGCUCCACUCCUGAGGCCUCAUUUCUCUCUACUUCAUCUCCAGUUUUUCUCAAAAUGAUUGGAAAGGUGUAGAAGGUGACUGGAGGGCUCGGCCGAGUUCAAAGCUAGGCUAGAGUAAUGACUACAACUCUUAAAUGUGUCUAUUAGAAGGAAAUUAAAUUCACUAACAAAGAG